This 660-nucleotide ribosomal RNA is filed under the name uncultured bacterium. Its description in RNAcentral is "bacterial SSU rRNA". It matches the Rfam family "Bacterial small subunit ribosomal RNA", at positions 94 to 788 of the family's 1533-position model. The record is from RNAcentral.
AGUGGCGGACGGGUGAGUAACGCGUGAGAAUCUGCCUUGGGGUCGGGGACAACCACUGGAAACGGUGGCUAAUACCGGAUAAGCCGAUUGGUGAAAGAUUUAUUGCCCGAAGAGGAGCUCCCGUCUGAUUAGCUAGUUGGUGAGGUAAGAGCUCACCAAGGCAGCGAUCAGUAGCUGGUCUGAGAGGACGAUCAGCCACACUGGGACUGAGACACGGCCCAGACUCCUACGGGAGGCAGCAGUGGGGAAUUUUCCGCAAUGGGCGAAAGCCUGACGGAGCAAGACCGCGUGAGGGAGGAAGGCUCUUGGGUUGUAAACCUCUUUUCUCAGGGAAGAAGCUCUGACGGUACCUGAGGAAUCAGCCUCGGCUAACUCCGUGCCAGCAGCCGCGGUAAUACGGAGGAGGCAAGCGUUAUCCGGAAUUAUUGGGCGUAAAGCGUCCGCAGGUGGCGAUUCAAGUCUGCUGUCAAAGCACGGGGCUUAACUCCGUAAAGGCAGUGGAAACUGAAUAGCUAGAGUGCCGUAGGGGUAGAGGGAAUUCCCGGUGUAGCGGUGAAAUGCGUAGAGAUCGGGAAGAACAUCGGUGGCGAAAGCGCUCUACUGGACGGCAACUGACACUCAGGGACGAAAGCUAGGGGAGCGAAUGGGAUUAGAUACCCC